This 452-nucleotide ribosomal RNA is filed under the name uncultured bacterium. RNAcentral's name for it is "bacterial SSU rRNA". It matches the Rfam family "Bacterial small subunit ribosomal RNA", at positions 340 to 784 of the family's 1533-position model. The record is from RNAcentral.
UACGGGAGGCAGCAGUGGGGAAUAUUGCACAAUGGGCGCAAGCCUGAUGCAGCCAUGCCGCGUGUAUGAAAAAGGCCUUCGGGUUGUAAAGUACUUUCAGUCGUGAGGAAGGUGUUAAGGUUAAUAACCUUAGCAAUUGACGUUAGCGACAGAAGAAGCACCGGCUAACUCCGUGCCAGCAGCCGCGGUAAUACGGAGGGUGCGAGCGUUAAUCGGAAUUACUGGGCGUAAAGGGCACGCAGGCGGUUAAUUAAGUUGGAUGUGAAAUCCCCGGGCUUAACCUGGGAAUGGCAUUCAAGACUGGUUAGCUAGAGUCUUGUAGAGGGGGUAGAAUUCCAUGUGUAGCGGUGAAAUGCGUAGAGAUGUGGAGGAAUACCGGUGGCGAAGGCGGCCCCUGGACAAAGACUGACGCUCAUGUGCGAAAGCGUGGGGACGCAAACGAGGAUUAGACU